GAACGCGUAGCUCAGUUGGAAGAGCAUUGGGCUAGUAUUCCAAAGGUCGUAGGUUCGAAUCCCACCGUGGCCG
Molecule: transfer RNA, 73 nt
Filed under: Paramuricea clavata
Lineage: Eukaryota; Metazoa; Cnidaria; Anthozoa; Malacalcyonacea; Plexauridae
Rfam family: tRNA
About the family: Transfer RNA (tRNA) molecules are approximately 80 nucleotides in length. Their secondary structure includes four short double-helical elements and three loops (D, anti-codon, and T loops).
Source: Rfam by way of RNAcentral